This 484-nucleotide ribosomal RNA is filed under the name uncultured bacterium. RNAcentral describes it as "partial 16S ribosomal RNA". It matches the Rfam family "Bacterial small subunit ribosomal RNA", at positions 30 to 507 of the family's 1533-position model. The record is from RNAcentral.
AGUGAACGCUGGCGGCAGGCCUAACACAUGCAAGUCGAGCGGCAGCGCGGGGGCAACCCUGGCGGCGAGCGGCGGACGGGUGAGGAAUUCGUCGGAAUCUGCCUUUUUGUGGGGGAUAACGUAGGGAAACUUACGCUGAUACCGCAUACGUCCUACGGGAGAAAGUGGGGGACCGCAAGGCCUCACGCAGAAAGAUGAGCCGACGACCGAUUAGCUAGUUGGUGGGGUAAAGGCCCACCAAGGCGACGAUCGGUAGCUGGUCUGAGAGGAUGAUCAGCCACACGGGAACUGGGACACGGCCCAGACUCCUACGGGAGGCAGCAGUGGGGAAUAUUGGACAAUGGGCGCAAGCCUGAUCCAGCCAGGCCGCGUGUGUGAAGAAGGCCUUCGGGUUGUAAAGCACUUUUGUCCGGAAAGAAAUCCCUGGAGCUAAUACCUUCGGGGGAUGACGGUACCGGAAGAAUAAGCACCGGCUAACUUCGUG